RNAcentral lists this ribosomal RNA (253 nucleotides) under uncultured bacterium. Its description in RNAcentral is "partial 16S ribosomal RNA". It matches the Rfam family "Bacterial small subunit ribosomal RNA", at positions 524 to 776 of the family's 1533-position model. The record is from RNAcentral.
UACGUAGGAGGCGAGCGUUGUCCGGAUUGAUUGGGCGUAAAGGGCGCGCAGGCGGCCCCAGAGGUUGAUCGUGAAAGCUCCUGGCUUUACCAGGAGAGGUCGGUCAAAACGGUGGGGCUUGAGCGUCGGAGAGGGGCAUGGAAUUCCCGGUGGAGCGGUGAAAUGCGUAGAGAUCGGGAGGAACACCCAUGGCGAAGGCAAUGCCCUGGCCGAUGGCUGACGCUCAGGCGCGAAAGCGUGGGGAGCAAACAGG